Molecule: long non-coding RNA, 1843 nt
Filed under: Rattus norvegicus (Norway rat)
Lineage: Eukaryota; Metazoa; Chordata; Mammalia; Rodentia; Muridae
Description: long non-coding RNA NONRATT012370
Source: RNAcentral
UGAUCAAAUUUGUAUGGUUAUGGCCUGGAAGAAUUAUGACGUCAGAGGCUCUUCAACUAUACCGUACCUAUGCUUACUGUUCUGUUUUUGUUACACGCGGCUCUCGUGUGAAGGAUGGGAAACUCUGUGUUCCGCUAUUCGAGGAUACUGUCCAUUCCUAGGCCGAAAGUACUUCCCUAAGUCCCCUUCUUAAGCCAUUGCAACUUUACUUUGGAUGAUGUCUGACAUUUUCAGCACCUCCUGUUCCUAUAAACCCAAAGAAUAUGACCCCGAACAUGAAGUGUGUCUAAAAGGGAUCCUUCUCAGUACACAGGAAAAGAAAAAAAUAAAGUUGAGCCUUUCUUCUGCCUCCCACCCCAGACCUCAUUCACAUGGGGGUCAGACAUCCAUUUUGGCUUGAAUGCCUGGCUUUCAUUUUGAGGUCUGUGAAGCAGAGGUCAGACGAAAUGCAGAGCCGUCUUCUCAGAGUUAUAUUUCUGUUGAGCCGUUGAGCUGGGUGGUGUAAACCAGUCAGUGUUGGGGCAGUAAACUGACCCUAGCUUGGAUACUUCAAUUUGGGUUCAUGUCCCGUCCUUUAGGGCGCAAGUUCUGGUAGCUUAGAUCCACCUUGACAAAGGCAGAAGUGAGCCGGCGGCUUCAGCUUUUCCCAUCCCGACACUUGCAUACAGGAGCCUUACCUGUAUCCAAAUGAAGUGUGUUUGGCCAAUAGAUGCCGUCUAUAUGAUACCAGUCUCUGAGAACUUCCCUAACACUUUUUAACUGAAAGGAGUUAAGUCUUCCACUACAGUCACUUGGAGACUCCAUCCACUCACGUCUUCUUGUUCCUUUGCUGGCUGGAUGGCUAAUCUGAAGGCCUGUGUGGGAAGCACUGUUUACAGUAACCCUUACCGAGAUAGCAUACUGUCCCUUAGACUACCGCGCUGAGGCGACACUGGCUUAGAACUGUUGGGAGUGAAAGAUCAGUCACUGAGAAGGUUGGGUGCAUAGGUUUUCUCCAGUUCUUACAGGAGCCCUCCACUCUGAGGUGAUUCUCUAGUCCAAGAAUGGGAUGAACCGCUGAGUCAAUGAGGCGUAGCCACGGCAACCCACCAUAGUCCCAUUCUGCGACUACUGCCCCCUCCUCAACCCCACACUGCUCAAGUGUGACCCCAGGUAGUGUCAGCUGAAAUGGGGUUGGGGUGGAGUCCUGUCAGUAUUUGUGGUAGAGUCUGCAAUCUCUAACCAGUGGGGGGGUCUUGGCCCUAAAGAACCAGAGAUCGGCACCAGUUGAAGGGUUUCAACAUCACGUUCCCAAACCCUCCGAUUUCCAUUCGUUAUGCUUCCCACAGGCCAAGCGGAAACAGACACCAAAACUUGGGCUGAGGGUCCUACCAUGUGGAGAACUAGGGAAAACAAAACUUUUUUUGUUUUUUUUGUUUUUGUUUUUGUUUUUGUUUUUUUGCACCUUAUUGAAAAGAAACUUUUAAGCGCAUACAUAGCUAAGAGCUUUUUCUCGUGACAGGAGGACGUCUCCAUAUCGUAAUACUCUCUGUAACCCCAGUGUAAAAUGUACUUGCACUAGCUUUUUUAAAACAAAUAUUAAAAAAAAUGGAAGAAUUCAUAUUCUAUUUUCUAAUCGUGGUGUGUCUAUUUGUAGGAUACACUCGAGUCUGUUUAUUGAAUUUUAUGGUCCCUUUCUUUGAUGGUGCUUGCAGGUUUUCUAGGUAGAAAUUAUUUCAUUAUUAUAAUAAAACAAUGUUUGAUUCAAAAUUUGAACAAAAUUGUUUUAAAUAAAUUGUCUGUAUACCAGUACAAGUUUAUUGUAUAAUACUCGUACUACUAAUAAAAUAACAGUGCCAAUUGC